RNAcentral lists this ribosomal RNA (497 nucleotides) under uncultured bacterium. RNAcentral's name for it is "partial 16S ribosomal RNA". It matches the Rfam family "Bacterial small subunit ribosomal RNA", at positions 28 to 507 of the family's 1533-position model. The record is from RNAcentral.
GAUGAACGCUGGCGGCGUGCCUAAUACAUGCAAGUCGAGCGGACAGACCAGGAUUUUGCUCCGCUGACGGUAGCGGCGGACGGGUGAGGAACGCGUGGAUCGCCUACCUAUAAGACUGGGAUAACUUCUGAACCCCGGAGCUAAUGCCUAAUAAUCUAUUGAACCGCAUGGUUCAAUAGUGAAUGACAGUUUUUCUUUCACUGAUAGAUGGAUCCGCGCCGCAUUAGCUGGUUGGUGAGGGAACGGCUUACCAACACCACGACGCGUAGCCGACGUCCGAGGGUGAUCGGCCACAGCGGAACUGAGACACGGACCAGACUCCUACGGGAGGCAGCAGUAGGGAAUCUUCCGCAAGGGGCGAAAGCCUGACGGAGAAGCGCCGCGUGAGUGAUGAAGGUCUUCGGAUCGUAAAACUCUGUUAUUAGGGAAGAACAAAUGUGUAAGUAACUAUGCACGUCUUGACGGUACCUAAUGAGAAAGCCACGGCUAACUACGUG